Molecule: ribosomal RNA, 538 nt
Filed under: uncultured beta proteobacterium
Lineage: Bacteria; Pseudomonadati; Pseudomonadota; Betaproteobacteria
Description: bacterial SSU rRNA
Rfam family: Bacterial small subunit ribosomal RNA
Source: RNAcentral
AACGGCAGCACGGGAGCUUGUUCCUGGUGGCGAGUGGCGAACGGGUGAGUAAUGCGUCGGAACGUACCGAGUGAUGGGGGAUAACGCACCGAAAGGUGUGCUAAUACCGCAUACGCCCUGAGGGGGAAAGCGGGGGAUCGCAAGACCUCGCGCGAUAGGAGCGGCCGAUAUCGGAUUAGCUUGUUGGUGAGGUAAAGGCUCACCAAGGCGACGAUCCGUAGCUGGUCUGAGAGGACGACCAGCCACACUGGAACUGAGACACGGUCCAGACUCCUACGGGAGGCAGCAGUGGGGAAUUUUGGACAAUGGGGGCAACCCUGAUCCAGCCAUUCCGCGUGAGUGAAGAAGGCCUUCGGGUUGUAAAGCUCUUUCAGCAGGAACGAAACGGUGGCCACUAAUACUGGCUACUAAUGACGGUACCUGAAGAAGAAGCACCGGCUAACUACGUGCCAGCAGCCGCGGUAAUACGUAGGGUGCGAGCGUUAAUCGGAAUUACUGGGCGUAAAGCGUGCGCAGGCGGUUCCAUAAGACAGAUGUG